AUGGAAUCUCUUUUUGCUCAAUUCGCCAUUCUUUCGGAGCAAGCUCUUUGUGACAAGAACUUCGAUCCUUACACUAUAGAAGAUGAUCUGAUGAAGCUCUUUGAAGUGGAGGCUUACAAGGCUUGGGCAGCCAUGGAAUUGGAUCAACAAAAAGAAGUUGAAGAAGCUGAAAAUUUCAUGAAAGAAGCAGAGGAUCAUCUUAACACUGCUAUGGAAGAAGCCAUGGAUGAAUUUCGCCGAUUCGAAGAGGAGAUGAAUGAGAUGGCUAAAUCUGAGUAUGAUAGCCUUGUGAGUGUUGCCGAAAGAGCUAGAAAUAUGGGGAAAGCUAUGGAGAAAGUGGCUACAAUUGCUGCCAAAAAGUAUAUUGAAACUGCUGUAAACUCUGCUGGUGCUUCAACGAAAUCUGCUUUUAAAGCAAUUUCUUCUCACUCUAAAAAGGUUCAUCCUUCUUAACAGAUCUCUCCCUAAUCAUCAAUUUGGACUUCAUUUGCUGAAUUGUGUUGGAUUAUAAAUGCAUAAUAAGUAUUUAAAGUUGUUUUCUAUUGAGCUGAGCUGAGAGUCUUUCGAAAACAGCCUCUCUAACUACAUUCUACUGAGAUUUUAAUCGGCUAUGUUGUUGUUGUAUUCUAAU
Molecule: unclassified non-coding RNA, 631 nt
Filed under: Hevea brasiliensis (rubber tree)
Lineage: Eukaryota; Viridiplantae; Streptophyta; Magnoliopsida; Malpighiales; Euphorbiaceae
Source: RNAcentral